UGCAUGUCUCAGUACAAGCCAAAUUAAGGUGAAACCGCGAAAGGCUCAUUAAAUCAGUUAUGGUUCCUUAGAUCGUACCCACAUUUACUUGGAUAACUGUGGUAAUUCUAGAGCUAAUACAUGCAAACAGAGCUCCGACCGGAGACGGAAGGAGCGCUUUUAUUAGAUCAAAACCAAUCGGUGGCGGUUUCCGUCAUCGUACAACUUGGUGACUCUGAAUAACUUUACGCUGAUCGCACGGUCUUGCACCGGCGACGCAUCUUUCAAAUGUCUGCCUUAUCAACUGUCGAUGGUAGGUUCUGCGCCUACCAUGGUUGUAACGGGUAACGGGGAAUCAGGGUUCGAUUCCGGAGAGGGAGCCUGAGAAACGGCUACCACAUCCAAGGAAGGCAGCAGGCGCGCAAAUUACCCACUCCCGGCACGGGGAGGUAGUGACGAAAAAUAACGAUACGGGACUCAUCCGAGGCCCCGUAAUCGGAAUGAGUACACUCUAAACCCUUUAACGAGGAUCAAUUGGAGGGCAAGUCUGGUGCCAGCAGCUGCGGUAAUUCCAGCUCCAAUAGCGUAUAUUAAAGUUGUUGCGGUUAAAAAGCUCGUAGUCGAAUCUGUGUCCCGCGCCGCCGGUUCAUCGUUCGCGGUGUUAACUGGCGUGCCGCGGGACGUCCUGCCGGUGGGCUUAGCUCGCAAGGGCGGCCCAACUCAAUCCCGCCGCGGUGCUCUUCAUUGAGUGUCGAGGUGGGCCGGCACGUUUACUUUGAACAAAUUAGAGUGCUUAAAGCAGGCUAAAACUUUGCCUGAAUACUGUGUGCAUGGAAUAAUGGAAUAGGACCUCGGUUCUAUUUUGUUGGUUUUCGGAACCCCGAGGUAAUGAUUAAUAGGAACGGAUGGGGGCAUUCGUAUUGCGACGUUUGAGGUGAAAUUCUUGGGAUCGGCGCA
This 936-nucleotide ribosomal RNA is filed under the name Brycopia sp. COL156. RNAcentral's name for it is "SSU rRNA". It matches the Rfam family "Eukaryotic small subunit ribosomal RNA", at positions 52 to 932 of the family's 1831-position model. Lineage: Eukaryota; Metazoa; Arthropoda; Insecta; Coleoptera; Tenebrionidae. The record is from RNAcentral.